Homo sapiens (human) is the source of this 835-nucleotide long non-coding RNA. Ensembl annotates it as PROX1 antisense RNA 1. Its record names the gene PROX1-AS1. The record is from Ensembl. NCBI's taxonomy places the organism in Eukaryota, Metazoa, Chordata, Mammalia, Primates, Hominidae.
AAAAAAGAAAGAUGUACAUACUCAGAUCAUUAAUAUGGAAUGGCUCUGUGGAGCAAUCAGGUUCAAAAAAAUUUAAACAUUUAUUUUACUUUUGGGAGACCAUAGAGAAGUGAUAAAAGCAGAGAGGGGCAGCCUAAAAGACUGUGUCUUUACUUAGAAAACAGUAGAGCUCAUCGGCUUGUGGAUCCUGAGCUGGGAAAAAAGUUUUCUCUCAAUGGGAAAAGAAGUUUUCUUGUCCCACUUCUCAUCACAGUGAGAUCUCCUCUCUAGCAUCCCUAACGUGGGGCCAUCUCACCUCUCCCUGAACUCUUCCACAGGCUCAAGUUUGUACAUUCCAACUUGUUGUUUGGGCCUUGUUGGACAUAACUGAAGUCUGGAUGGCAGGGUGAAAAUUGGAUAAACAGCCACACUGACUCAGGGGAGAUUUUUUUUUAAUGCAAACAUCUGUUUCUUGAAUUUGGCCAUGGUAAGACCUAAGGGAAGGGGGAAUACCAGUUGACGAAAUAAGAUCAAGAAGAUACUGCCUCAUUUUUUCUUCUGUUUCAGGGGUAUAAAUCCUGCCUUCUCUCAGCCUUACAGAGGAAGAAAACCCUUUCCAAGUUUCCUCUGAUACUGGGUUUAUGCCCAAUUAUAGUUUAGGAGAGGACAGGAUGGACUACUGACAUUAGAGAAGACUUUGAAAAGGAAGUUUGAAUUAAUGCAGGCUGUAAGGUGCUGAGAAGCUCCAAGCAGGCAGAACCUAGGCAUGAAGAAACUGAAGCAUGGAGGAAAAACUUAGCAACUAGCCCAACGUCACACAGGCAAGCCAGCCUUGACAAUGUGCUGAUGGCAACCU